GAUGAACGCUGGCGGCGUGCCUAAUACAUGCAAGUCGAGCGAACAGACGAGGAGCUUGCUCCUCUGACGUUAGCGGCGGACGGGUGAGUAACACGUGGAUAACCCACCUAUAAGACUGGGAUAACUUCGGGAAACCGGAGCUAAUACCGGAUAAUAUAUUGAACCGCAUGGUUCAGUAGUGAAAGACGGUUUUGCUGUCACUUAUAGAUGGAUCCGCGCCGCAUUAGCUAGUUGGUAAGGUAACGGCUUACCAAGGCAACGAUGCGUAGCCGACCUGAGAGGGUGAUCGGCCACACUGGAACUGAGACACGGUCCAGACUCCUACGGGAGGCAGCAGUAGGGAAUCUUCCGCAAUGGGCGAAAGCCUGACGGAGCAACGCCGCGUGAGUGAUGAAGGUCUUCGGAUCGUAAAACUCUGUUAUUAGGGAAGAACAAAUGUGUAAGUAACUAUGCACGUCUUGACGGUACCUAAUCAGAAAGCCACGGCUAACUACGUG
RNAcentral lists this ribosomal RNA (497 nucleotides) under uncultured bacterium. Its description in RNAcentral is "partial 16S ribosomal RNA". It matches the Rfam family "Bacterial small subunit ribosomal RNA", at positions 28 to 507 of the family's 1533-position model. The record is from RNAcentral.